Molecule: ribosomal RNA, 697 nt
Filed under: uncultured Serratia sp.
Lineage: Bacteria; Pseudomonadati; Pseudomonadota; Gammaproteobacteria; Enterobacterales; Yersiniaceae
Description: bacterial SSU rRNA
Rfam family: Bacterial small subunit ribosomal RNA
Source: RNAcentral
GGAGGUUGUGCCCUUGAGGCGUGGCUUCCGGAGCUAACGCGUUAAAUCGACCGCCUGGGGAGUACGGCCGCAAGGUUAAAACUCAAAUGAAUUGACGGGGGCCCGCACAAGCGGUGGAGCAUGUGGUUUAAUUCGAUGCAACGCGAAGAACCUUACCUACUCUUGACAUCCAGAGAACUUGGCAGAGAUGCCUUGGUGCCUUCGGGAACUCUGAGACAGGUGCUGCAUGGCUGUCGUCAGCUCGUGUUGUGAAAUGUUGGGUUAAGUCCCGCAACGAGCGCAACCCUUACCCUUUGUUGCCAGCGAUUCGGUCGGGAACUCAAAGGAGACUGCCAGUGAUAAACUGGAGGAAGGUGGGGAUGACGUCAAGUCAUCAUGGCCCUUACGAGUAGGGCUACACACGUGCUACAAUGGCGUAUACAAAGAGAAGCGACCUCGCGAGAGCAAGCGGACCUCAUAAAGUACGUCGUAGUCCGGAUUGGAGUCUGCAACUCGACUCCAUGAAGUCGGAAUCGCUAGUAAUCGUAGAUCAGAAUGCUACGGUGAAUACGUUCCCGGGCCUUGUACACACCGCCCGUCACACCAUGGGAGUGGGUUGCAAAAGAAGUAGGUAGCUUAACCUUCGGGAGGGCGCUUACCACUUUGUGAUUCAUGACUGGGGUGAAGUCGUAACAAGGUAACCAAGGGCGAAUUCCAG